This is a small nucleolar RNA of Culex pipiens pallens (northern house mosquito), 110 nucleotides long. RefSeq annotates it as small nucleolar RNA snR60/Z15/Z230/Z193/J17. The record is from RefSeq and is a predicted model, not a curated record. NCBI's taxonomy places the organism in Eukaryota, Metazoa, Arthropoda, Insecta, Diptera, Culicidae. The transcript has a single exon.
GUAGAAUCUUUCACGAUGAUGAUGCAUAGUUCAGUUGACUCACGCGGAAUGAUAACUAAUCUUACUAUUUUUUGAAAUUGGUCUUUCACCCCUACCUGACCCGAUUUCCC